AUGGAUAUGAUUCAUGUUUUUCUCAUUGUUCUUUUUGGUCCCGUAGGAGCUUUAUCUUCUAGUCAUAACUUGACCAGUGGGACAGUGUUGGAGAUGAUGGUCAGACCAGGAGAAAACAUAACUCUCUACUGUGACUGUAAAACUUCAACUGGAGAAUUCAUAGUGUGGUACAGGAAUUGCUCUCACGAGAAACAACCUUCUCUUAUUCUAAAAACAAAGCUUGAGCAAAGACAAUAUAAACCAGGUAUUGAUUACCAAAACCUUCUGAAUCCAUUCCCUAAUUUCCAUCUUGUGAAAAAUUAUUCCUCUCAAUCCUAUGACCUGCUGAUCACAAACAUCACUGAUUCGGAUGAGGGCUUCUACUACUGUGGAACUGAACAGUCUAAGGUGAAGGAAGAAAAAGCAAUUAAUCUUGAAUGCCUAUAUAGAUAUGGAAAACUCACCACAAGGAUUGUGUUUCAAUCCCCUGAUUCUACUCUUUGCCAUGACUCCUGUGUUUCCAGUAUUGUGUCCAGGAUGAUGGUGCUUACUCCAGCAUUUUCUAUUUUUGUUUCCUUUGUCUCCUUUGUAUUUGUUUAUCAACUGUGUCAGAAAACAGAUGCAGAAAAAGGACGUGAAAUUCAUCAGAAAAGAAAAAGACAGUAUGAAGAUGAAGACUUGUGUUUAACACAAGUCAUGUUCCAGGCUCAGGAUGGAUAUAGACAUCAAUAGACAGAUUCAUGAUGAAGAAAACCUAGGAAGUUUACCAAAUUUUCACAGAAAAAUAAAAUCCCAGUGAAUUACAUAACAAUAGUUGUCACUUGCCAGGCUUGUCUUUUUGCAGUUCAUUGUUUUAGCUUUUAUCUCCCUUGCUUUGUUGCUUUUCCUUUCAAUGAAUUGUACAGUAUUAAAAAAUAGUUAAAGUUGUAGUUGUAAAUGUUCACACAUCUAAAAACUAUAUAAAAUAUAGUCUAUUGUUUAUCGUUUACUCUUGCAUAUUGAUUGUAAUGGACUGCAAUACUUAUAUUGCAAAAAAAAGCUUUACAAAUAAAAGAAAAAUGUCUGCCUGUCACUUAAGUAUUUUUCUUUUCAAAGUAUGUAUUGAUGAAAUGUCAUUACAAAAUAAAUUUUCUUUAUCGUC
RNAcentral lists this long non-coding RNA (1120 nucleotides) under Oreochromis niloticus (Nile tilapia). RNAcentral describes it as "lncRNA (ENSONIG00000037598.1)". The record is from RNAcentral. Lineage: Eukaryota; Metazoa; Chordata; Actinopteri; Cichliformes; Cichlidae.